GCGGGUGUAGCUCAAUGGUAGAGCCCCAGCCUUCCAAGCUGGUCACGUGGGUCCGAUUCCCAUCACCCGCUCCA
RNAcentral lists this transfer RNA (74 nucleotides) under Holosporales bacterium. RNAcentral's name for it is "tRNA-Gly". It matches the Rfam family "tRNA". Rfam says of the family: Transfer RNA (tRNA) molecules are approximately 80 nucleotides in length. RNAcentral also lists the same sequence under 1 other name. The record is from RNAcentral. Lineage: Bacteria; Pseudomonadati; Pseudomonadota; Alphaproteobacteria; Holosporales.